Molecule: non-coding RNA, 31 nt
Filed under: Rattus norvegicus (Norway rat)
Lineage: Eukaryota; Metazoa; Chordata; Mammalia; Rodentia; Muridae
Source: RNAcentral
UAAUGCCAGAAAAGAGACAAAGAAUACAAGU